This 514-nucleotide long non-coding RNA is filed under the name Homo sapiens (human). Its description in RNAcentral is "HSALNT0346418". Lineage: Eukaryota; Metazoa; Chordata; Mammalia; Primates; Hominidae. The record is from RNAcentral.
AAAGUACACCAAAUAUAUACUAUAUACUGUACAUAAAAUAUCAAAGUACACCAAAUACAUAUUAUGUACUGUACAUAAAAUAUCAAAAAGUACACCAAAUACAUAUUACAUACUGUACAUAAAAUAUCAAAAAGUACACCAAAUACUUAUUAUUUACUGUACUUAAAUUAUCAAAAAUUACACCAACUACUUAUUAUAUACUGUACAUAAAAUAUCAAAAAGUACACCAAAUAUAUAUUAUAUACUGUACAUAUAAUAUCAAAGUACACCAAAUACAUAUUAUAUACUGUGCAUAAAAUAUCAAAGUACACCAAAUACAUUUUAUAUACUGUACAUAAAAUAUCAAAGUACAGAAAACACAUAUAAUAUACUGUACAUAAAAUAUCAAAGUACACAAAAUAUUUAUUAUAUACUGUACAUAAAAUAUCAAAGUACCCAAAAUACAUAUUAUAUACUGUACAUAAAAUAUCAAAGUACACGAAAUAUAUAUUAUAUACUCUACCUAAAAUACCAA